Molecule: ribosomal RNA, 276 nt
Filed under: uncultured prokaryote
Description: partial 16S ribosomal RNA
Rfam family: Bacterial small subunit ribosomal RNA
Source: RNAcentral
UACGUAGGGGGCGAGCGUUGUCCGGAUUUACUGGGCGUAAAGGGUGAGUAGGCGGUUGUAUAUGUCAGGUGUAAAAGGCUAUGGCUUAACCAUGGUUAGCACUUGAAACUGUACAACUUGAGUGCAGGAGAGGUAAGUGGAAUUCCUAGUGUAGCGGUGAAAUGCGUAGAUAUUAGGAGGAACACCAGUGGCGAAGGCGACUUACUGGACUGUAACUGACGCUGAGUCACGAAAGCGUGGGUAGCAAACAGGAUUAGAUACCCGCGUAGUCCCUGA